GCGUGAACUCCUGAAGACAUACCUGAAGCUUCAGUAAGAAAAUUCCAUACUUUAGCAACAACCUUUUUUUCUUGCAACCUGAAACCCUUCGAGGGAACAAGAAUUCAGAAGCCACGCAUUUCGGUGGAAGAAAAUUUCCAGAAGCCAAAUUGUGCAGCAUCAUAGGUAAACGCGCAUAUCUCAUUAGUUUUUCUUCUUUUGAAGCAUCCUGAAACCCUCCAGAGUCGCACUAUUCUGUUCACAGCAUCAUAUGGUUGUUCACAGUCCGUUGCAAUACCAUAGAUGAUUUGGAUGGAAACAAAUAUUGGUUGUCCUUUUUUUGUACUAUUGCCAUGUGAGAACUGCAGAAUUAUUUUCAGAAUGCGGCGAACUAUACCUCCGACAUGCUUCGAGAGAUACAGUGUCGUUCUUGCACUGCCACUCUGGUUUUCAAGCAUAAUCAGCAGCGGGUAUGGUAGGGAGGCUCUUUUUCUUGAGGUGGUACAUUCACUAGAUGGACAUUAGACUGGUCAUUAGCUAAUUAUGGCUUCUUGAUGCUCAUUCAGUUGAUUGCUGUGUACGGAAGGUACAUGUUAAUAUACCGAUGUAUGCUUUGAUAAGGCUACAAAGUUAACAAAUAUCUUUGGCUCGCAUGUGUAGCAAAUGAGACUGUCUUAUUUAGCAAAUGCUUGGUUUAUUCUCAUAGGGUUUCAAGGGAGAAACUGACUUUGUCUUCUUAAAAGUCUCAGGUAGAGUAGAAGAUGAUGACGCGGAGAAAGAAAACAAGGGUGCACAAGGGUGCGCCUGUGGUGAUCACAAAAGAGGGCCAAGUAAAUUGUACCUCAAUUUUGUGUGGUGCGGUCUGGAACUUGAAGCCUAUAUAACACCAAUUUGAUCAGUAUCUCUAUGUAUUUUGCUAUUAUGUAGCAUAUCAUUGACUGAAGUGUGAAACAAAAAGGAGACAAAGCUUGUUGCAAGUCAAUGCGAAACCUGUGCCUCUGCAUUUCCAUUGCAUUUAUGUGGAAUUUAGUGAUAUUUGCCAUAUCUCAUGAAGAUUCACAACGAUUGAGAAAAUGAGACCGUGUGACAACCAAACGAUGUGAAGUGUGGGUACAGCUAGAGGCACAACCAUGGUCGCGGAAGGGAGGUGAAAGAAGAGGAUGCAUGGUGGGAUGAUAAGAGAUAAUCAUUAGGUUAUAGCUUAUGCAUAUAUGAUGUCAAAUCUUGUAUUUUUGUUGAAUUGCAUUUUAAGAAGCAAAU
Lolium perenne is the source of this 1239-nucleotide non-coding RNA. The record is from RefSeq and is a predicted model, not a curated record. Lineage: Eukaryota; Viridiplantae; Streptophyta; Magnoliopsida; Poales; Poaceae.